CAAAAGAUUAUCCUAGACUAGAUUUUUGUCAAACUUUUUUUAAAUAUGACAAAAAUACCCCUAAUUUUAUUAAAUUAAGAAUUAAUUAAAUAAUUAAAAAUAGAUUUUAAAAUAGAAAAUAUAUAAAAUUUAUUUUCAAAUAAAUAUUUUUAAAAGAAUGUAAAAAAAAGGCAUUAAUUUUUUCUUUUCUCUCCCUACUCUUCGUCCUCUCCUCUCCUUCUGACUUCUUCUUUGAUUAUCCAGGUGACUUGCAAGAAACCACCUCCCAUCGAUGACAUAUGCAACACCAACCACCUCUCCCGAUGACGAUUGCGAGCCCUGAAGUUUGGAAGCUCUCGUCGGCAACUCUGUUUAUGACAUGUCAUUCUAGAUCUGGGUCUUUGUCAUAGUCGAGCCCCCAGACCCAUCCCCAGCGUCAUUUCCUUUCACUCACGCAAAUGCAUCUGCUUGCCCAUUGUCGUUGCUUAUGCUUGCCUCUGAGGAAGUGAUAUCCAUUUCUCUCUAGAGUAAAAAACAAAGAACAUAAAGAUGAGAAGUAUAAAACGCAGGCUAGGCAAAGAUCGACUUUGAGAAAAGUGCUCAGAAUAGAGCUUGUGAAGGGCUAGGAAAAACACUGGCGGAGCUAGCUAGGCAAACGGAGGACGAGAUGUGCAACACUGAUUUGGGUUUCUGAACAACGAUGAAGGAUGUUGAAGAGUGGGUUAGAUGUUUAAAUCUGCCUGGGCUUUUUUUUUCUCUUUGCUCAGAACAAAAAUUAUAAUCUGGCGAUGCUUGAAUGUUUCUUUAAUCUGCCUUGAGAUUGUUUUAUUCUUGGUUUUGUUUUAAAAAAAUUGUUUGUAAAUAUGUAAUGAAUUGAAGUUGGAUAUUGUAUGUAAAUUUGGAAUAGAUUUUCUCUUGAAGAA
This is a long non-coding RNA of Humulus lupulus (European hop), 902 nucleotides long. RefSeq lists it as uncharacterized. The record is from RefSeq and is a predicted model, not a curated record. The transcript has 2 exons. NCBI's taxonomy places the organism in Eukaryota, Viridiplantae, Streptophyta, Magnoliopsida, Rosales, Cannabaceae.